UACAGAGGAGCCAAGCGUUGUCCGGAUUGACUGGGCGUAAAGCGCACGCAGGCGGAUGCGCGCGUGGGGUGUGAAAUCUGGCCGCUUAACGGCCAGGCGCCAUCCCAUACGGCGCGUCUGGAGUGAUGCAGAGGUCGGUGGAAUUGCCGGUGUAGUGGUGAAAUGCGUAGAGAUCGGCAGGAACACCCAGGGGGAAACCAGCCGACUGGGCAUCUGCUGACGCUGAGGUGCGAGAGCGUGGGGAGCGAACCGG
RNAcentral lists this ribosomal RNA (253 nucleotides) under uncultured bacterium. Its description in RNAcentral is "partial 16S ribosomal RNA". It matches the Rfam family "Bacterial small subunit ribosomal RNA", at positions 524 to 776 of the family's 1533-position model. The record is from RNAcentral.